Molecule: ribosomal RNA, 497 nt
Filed under: uncultured bacterium
Lineage: Bacteria
Description: partial 16S ribosomal RNA
Rfam family: Bacterial small subunit ribosomal RNA
Source: RNAcentral
GACGAACGCUGGCGGCGUGCCUAAUACAUGCAGGUUGAGCGCUGAAGGUUGGUACUUGUACCAACUGGAUGAGCAGCGAACGGGUGAGUAACGCGUGGGGAAUCUGCCUUUGAGCGGGGGACAACAUUUGGAAACGAAUGCUAAUACCGCAUAAAAACUUUAAACACAAGUUUUAAGUUUGAAAGAUGCAAUUACAUCACUCAAAGAUGAUCCCGCGUUGUAUUAGCUAGUUGGUGAGGUAAAGGCUCACCAAGGCGAUGAUACAUAGCCGACCUGAGAGGGUGAUCGGCCACCUUGGGACUGAGACACGGCCCAAACUCCUACGGGAGGCAGCAGUAGGGAAUCUUCGGCAAUGGACGAAAGUCUGACCGAGCAACGCCGCGUGAGUGAAGAAGGUUUUCGGAUCGUAAAACUCUGUUGGUAGAGAAGAACGUUGGUGAGAGUGGAAAGCUCAUCAAGUGACGGUAACUACCCAGAAAGGGACGGCUAACUACGUG